GAUGAACGCUGGCGGUGUGCCUAAUACAUGCAAGUCGAGCGAACGGACGAGAAGCUUGCUUCUCUGAUGUUAGCGGCGGACGGGUGAGUAACACGUGGAUAACCUACCUAUAAGACUGGGAUAACUUCGGGAAACCGGAGCUAAUACCGGAUGAUAUUUUGAACCGCAUGGUUCAAAAGUGAAAGACGGUCUUGCUGUCACUUAUAGAUGGAUCCGCGCUGCAUUAGCUAGUUGGUAAGGUAACGGCUUACCAAGGCAACGAUGCAUAGCCGACCUGAGAGGGUGAUCGGCCACACUGGAACUGAGACACGGUACAGACUCCUACGGGAGGCAGCAGUAGGGAAUCUUCCGCAAUGGGCGAAAGCCUGACGGAGCAACGCCGCGUGAGUGAUGAAGGUCUUCGGAUCGUAAAACUCUGUUAUUAGGGAAGAACAUAUGUGUAAGUAACUGUGCACAUCUUGACGGUACCUAAUCAGAAAGCCACGGCUAACUACGUG
RNAcentral lists this ribosomal RNA (497 nucleotides) under uncultured bacterium. RNAcentral describes it as "partial 16S ribosomal RNA". It matches the Rfam family "Bacterial small subunit ribosomal RNA", at positions 28 to 507 of the family's 1533-position model. The record is from RNAcentral.